Molecule: ribosomal RNA, 766 nt
Filed under: uncultured Candidatus Poseidoniales archaeon
Lineage: Archaea; Methanobacteriati; Thermoplasmatota; Candidatus Poseidoniia; Candidatus Poseidoniales
Description: bacterial SSU rRNA
Rfam family: Archaeal small subunit ribosomal RNA
Source: RNAcentral
UUCUGGUUGAUCCUGCCGGAGGCUACCGCUAUUGGAGUUCGAUUAAGCCAUGCGAGUCGAGAGUCUUAGGGACUCGGCGUACCGCUCAGUAACACGUGGGUAACCUGCCCUAUGCUGGGGAAUAACCUCGGGAAACUGAGAAUAAUACCCCAUAGUUCACCACGCCUGGAACGGUGGGUGGAUGAAAGCUCCGGCGGCAUAGGAUGGGCCUGCGACGUAUCAGGUUGUAGGGGGUGUAACGUACCCUCUAGCCAUCAACGCGUACGGGUGUUGGGAGACAUAGCCCGGAGAUGGAUUCUGAGACACGAAUCCAGACCCUACGGGGUGCAGCAGGCGCGAAAACUUGGCAAUGCGAGCAAUCGUGACCAGGGAACUCCAAGUGGCUGGGGUAAUACCCAGUUUUUUCUUGACUCUUCAAAGGUCUUGGAAUAAGGGGUGGGUAAGGACGGUGCCAGCCGCCGCGGUAAUACCGGCGCCUCAAGUGGUAGUCGCUUUUAUUGGGCCUAAAACGUCCGUAGCCGGUCUGGUGCAUUCGUGGGUAAAUCAACCCGCUCAACGGGUUGAAUUCUGCGAGCACGGCCAGACUUGGGACCGGGAGAGGUGUGGGGUACUCUCAGGGUAGGGGUAAAAUCCUGUCAUCCUGAGAGGACCACCUGUUGCGAAGGCGCCACACUAGAACGGAUUCGACGGUCAGGGACGAAACCUAGGGGCACGAACCGGAUUAGAUACCCGGGUAGUCCUAGGUGUAAACGCUGUGGACUUGAUG